RNAcentral lists this long non-coding RNA (218 nucleotides) under Hordeum vulgare. RNAcentral's name for it is "long non-coding RNA (HVUL_LNC019695)". Lineage: Eukaryota; Viridiplantae; Streptophyta; Magnoliopsida; Poales; Poaceae. The record is from RNAcentral.
UUGCUUUGGAGAUUGAGACAACCCUCUCCUGGCUGCAACUAACUCUAGAACCUUCCCGACAGUUGCUCUCUCCUUUCGCUUGUGAGAAGUGCUUUACUGUGGGAUAAAAUUAGCAUCUUCAUCAUCAGAGUUGAGCCUCUUCCUUGCUCUAGUUGAUGCCUUGGGCAGGUCAUGUGAGCUGGGGGUGCCCGAGUCUGACUCACUCCUCUCAAGACUAG